This 301-nucleotide ribosomal RNA is filed under the name uncultured bacterium. Its description in RNAcentral is "partial 16S ribosomal RNA". It matches the Rfam family "Bacterial small subunit ribosomal RNA", at positions 509 to 807 of the family's 1533-position model. The record is from RNAcentral.
CAGCAGCCGCGGGAACACGGAGGGGGCUAGCGUUGUUCGGAAUUACUGGGCGUAAAGCGCACGUAGGCGGCUUGGUAAGUUAGAGGUGAAAGCCCGGAGCUCAACUCCGGAAUUGCCUUUAAGACUGCCGAGCUAGCAGGUGAGAGAGGUAAGUGGAAUUCCGAGUGUAGAGGUGAAAUUCGUAGAUAUUCGGAAGAACACCAGUGGCGAAGGCGGCUUACUGGCUCAUACUGGACGCUGAGGUGCGAAAGCGUGGGGAGCAAACAGGAUUAGAUACCCGCGUAGUCCCUGUCUCUUAUAC